GCUUCCACUUUCUCAUUCCCGUUUCUUCUAGAACUAGAACUAGAAGGUCCCUGCGCUACCACCAACUUCCAUGAGAACUUCCCAUAUGAAGCUCUGGUUUUCAUCUCCUAACAUGUAGAAAUUUGAGCCCUAACUCCACCUUCCAUUUCUAAUGGAUUCUAAUUUUGUAUUCAUUUACUUUCCUUCUGUCUUUUUCCCCAAAGGCCCAUUACAGACUUUGCUUCCUUUUUCGUUUAAUUUUCUUAGAAAUCCCAAAUUGGUUGCUCCAUUUCUUUCUUUAUCCGAUUUUUGGCCUUAGCUUCUAGGUUCGUAUCAAAAUUAUCCAUUUUGCUUCCACUUUGUUAGUGACUUCGGUUUCUGAUUUCUGUGGAUGAUGCCAACAUUCCCGCCGAGGUUGAAGUACAUAUGCUGGUGUUUAUCAUCAGCAAGUUUAUCAUAGUGAAUGUCAUUUUUCAUCAUAGUGGAUUGUUGAAAUCUCAUCAGCUUUGUCAAAUGCAAGCCCAGAAUUUUAAGUAUCCUCCAGAAUGAUUCCCAUAAAGGUUCAUUAAACUAGGACCUCAAUUGCACGAUUUAAGGAAGAAAGCUACGAAAUAGAUGAGUUCAUUCUAUCUACAAGGAGGAGACUUGAAUUUGUUGAUUUUUGUACAAAUCCCCCCUUCUUAUAAGGACUAAUGUAAAAACUGAGGUUCAUUGAAGUUAGCUACAGGUGGAAGAUGGCACAACUGGGAGAUACAGGACUUUCUGCAGUUAGAAGUAUCCUCUCUGGCACUUAUCUUCCUUUUGUCUUUUGCUAUUUUACUAUUUUGCUGCUUCAACCAAUCAAUGACGGAGUGUACCUCCCAAAACGGUGUCUUAAGGAUUUGGGAAACAUUUCGACUACUCUAGAGCUUUUGUGAAAAAAUGUUAAUUUGAACUGGACAACAUAUUUAAGGUUUCUGACAUGGUAGCAAAUGCACUGAACACGCCUGAAUCUGGAAUCAUGGAUCAUACAUGAGUGGACUCUGCUGUUUAUUUACAGAUCUACUUGAUUAGGGUAUUAUUUAUAUGAUUUGUAUUCCAUCUGUCUUUGUUUCUACCGACAGUACAAUAUAUAAGAUUGCAAACUCAACUUUUCUUUUAUGUUCUGGUUUGUACAUUUAUAUUUUGAUAACCAAGACCCCAUGUAAGCUUUUGUAACCAAAA
Molecule: long non-coding RNA, 1182 nt
Organism: Nicotiana attenuata
Lineage: Eukaryota; Viridiplantae; Streptophyta; Magnoliopsida; Solanales; Solanaceae
Exons: 5
Source: RefSeq, a predicted model, not a curated record